Molecule: ribosomal RNA, 980 nt
Filed under: seawater metagenome
Description: bacterial LSU rRNA
Rfam family: Bacterial large subunit ribosomal RNA
Source: RNAcentral
CUAAGGUAGCGAAAUUCCUUGUCGGGUAAGUUCCGACCUGCACGAAUGGCGUAAUGAUGGGGGCGCUGUCUCCACCCGAGACUCAGUGAAAUCGAAAUCGCAGUGAAGAUGCUGUGUACCCGCGGCUAGACGGAAAGACCCCGUGAACCUUUACUAUAGCUUCACAGUGGACUUUGAACCUGUUUGUGUAGGAUAGCUGGGAGACUUUGAAGCAGUGACGCUAGUCAUUGUGGAGUCGUCCUUGAAAUACCAGCCUGGCAUGUUUGAGGUUCUAACCUGGGUCCCUUAUCGGGAUCGGGGACAUUGUGUGGUGGGUAGUUUGACUGGGGCGGUCUCCUCCCAAAGAGUAACGGAGGAGCACAAAGGUACCCUCAGCACGGUCGGACAUCGUGCAACGAGCGUAAAGGUAGAAGGGUGCUUGACUGCGAGACUUACAAGUCGAGCAGGUGCGAAAGCAGGUCUUAGUGAUCCGGUGGUUCUGUAUGGAAGGGCCAUCGCUCAACGGAUAAAAGGUACUCCGGGGAUAACAGGCUGAUACCGCCCAAGAGUUCAUAUCGACGGCGGUGUUUGGCACCUCGAUGUCGGCUCAUCACAUCCUGGGGCUGAAGUCGGUCCCAAGGGUAUGGCUGUUCGCCAUUUAAAGUGGUACGCGAGCUGGGUUUAGAACGUCGUGAGACAGUUCGGUCCCUAUCUGCCGUGGGCGUUGGAGAUUUGAGAGGAGCUGCUCCUAGUACGAGAGGACCGGAGUGGACGAACCUCUGGUGUUCCGGUUGUCACGCCAGUGGCAUUGCCGGGUAGCUACGUUCGGACGGGAUAACCGCUGAAAGCAUCUAAGCGGGAAGCCUCCCUCAAGAUGAGAUCUCCCUGGGGGCUUGACCCCCCUGAAGGGCCGUUGAAGACCACAACGUUGAUAGGCUGGGUGUGGAAGCGUUGUAAGGCGUGAAGCUAACCAGUACUAAUUGCCCGUGAGGCUUGACUAU